This 337-nucleotide unclassified non-coding RNA is filed under the name soil metagenome. RNAcentral's name for it is "partial contains 5.8S ribosomal RNA, internal transcribed spacer 2, and large subunit ribosomal RNA". The stretch from base 1 to 120 matches the Rfam family "5.8S ribosomal RNA", at positions 35 to 154 of the family's 154-position model. The record is from RNAcentral.
GAUGAAGAACGCAUCGAAAUGCGAUAAGUAGUGUGAAUUGCAGAAUUCAGUGAAUCAUCGAAUCUUUGAACGCACAUUGCGCCCUUUGGUAUUCCAAAGGGCAUGCCUGUUCGAGCGUCAUUUGUACCCUCAAGCUUUGCUUGGUGUUGGGUGUUUGUCUCGCCUCUGCGCGCAGACUCGCCUCAAAACAAUUGGCAGCCGGCGUAUUGAUUUCGGAGCGCAGUACAUCUCGCGCUUUGCACUCAGAACGACGACGUCCAAAAGUACAUUUUUACACUCUUGACCUCGGAUCAGGUAGGGAUACCCGCUGAACUUAAGCAUAUCAAUAAGCGGAGGA